AGGUCCUUUCCAACCCAAACCAUUCCAUGAUUCUAUAAUUAAGUCAUAUUUGUUUUCUUUUGUACAGCUUGAAGUUGUUUAAUAAAGUGUCUUAGUUAUGGGCAUUUUUUAAUCUAUUUUUAAUUGCAGCAAUCUGUUUAAGCAACUAGAAAGGCAACUUGAGGAUAUUGUACAGCAAAUCUCUGCUAGAGCCACGCAAUUCUGUUAAAGUGACUGUUGUUUAAGGUCAGCAUUUAACAGGUCUAAAACUGAAUAAAUGCAUAUUU
Long non-coding RNA from Neopsephotus bourkii (Bourke's parrot), 266 nucleotides. RefSeq lists it as uncharacterized. The record is from RefSeq and is a predicted model, not a curated record. The transcript is spliced from 2 exons. Lineage: Eukaryota; Metazoa; Chordata; Aves; Psittaciformes; Psittacidae.